AGCGAACGCUGGCGGCAGGCCUAACACAUGCAAGUCGAACGAACCUUUCGGGGUUAGUGGCGGACGGGUGAGUAACACGUGGGAACGUGCCGUUAGGUUCGGAAUAACUCAGGGAAACUUGUGCUAAUACCGAAUGUGCCCUUCUGGGGAAAGAUUAAUCGCCUUUAGAGCGGCCCGCGUCUGAUUAGCUAGGUGGGUGAGGUAAUGGCUCACCAAGGCGACGAUCAGUAGCUGGUCUGAGAGGAUGAUCAGCCACAUUGGGACUGAGACACGGCCCAAACUCCUACGGGAGGCAGCAGUGGGGAAUCUUGCGCAAUGGGCGAAAGCCUGACGCAGCCAUGCCGCGUGAAUGAUGAAGGUCUUAGGAUUGUAACAUUCUUUCACCGGGGACGAUAAUGACGGUACCCGGAGAAGAAGCCCCGGCUAACUUCGUG
Molecule: ribosomal RNA, 434 nt
Filed under: uncultured bacterium
Lineage: Bacteria
Description: partial 16S ribosomal RNA
Rfam family: Bacterial small subunit ribosomal RNA
Source: RNAcentral